Molecule: long non-coding RNA, 276 nt
Organism: Arabidopsis thaliana (thale cress)
Lineage: Eukaryota; Viridiplantae; Streptophyta; Magnoliopsida; Brassicales; Brassicaceae
Product: other RNA
Exons: 1
Source: RefSeq
CUUUUACCGCUUCUCUGCCAGUUUCAUUGGGUUGAAAUAGUGUUUGACCCUCCCUCGCAACCAUAUGUUCAAGCUCAAGACAUAUGAUUGAUGUAGAGGCCACUUGAGCACUCUUAAUUGCAUCUGGCAGUAAAUGAGGAGCACUCUCAAGACGAGUAUCUGUCUACAUAUCCACGGGUUGUUCACAUUUAGGAGCCACCCAUCUCCACAGUCUUUAUAUUCCUAUCCCAUAGUCCAUACUGGGCUUUUUAAGCUGAGCCCAUGAUUCUGUUUGUU